RNAcentral lists this ribosomal RNA (506 nucleotides) under uncultured bacterium. Its description in RNAcentral is "bacterial SSU rRNA". It matches the Rfam family "Bacterial small subunit ribosomal RNA", at positions 149 to 688 of the family's 1533-position model. The record is from RNAcentral.
CAGGGAAACUUGGGCUGAUACCUGGAUACGUCCGUAAGGAGAAAGAUUUAUCGCUGAAGGAUCGGCCCGCGUCUGAUUAGCUUGUUGGUGAGGUAACGGCUCACCAAGGCUACGAUCAGUAGCUGGUCUGAGAGGAUGAUCAGCCUCACUGGGACUGAGACACGGCCAGACUCCUACGGGAGGCAGCAGUGGGGAAUAUUGGACAAUGGGCGCAAGCCUGAUCCAGCCAUGCCGCGUGGGUGAUGAAGGCCCUAGGGUUGUAAAGCCCUUUCGGCGGGGAAGAUAAUGACGGUACCCGCAGAAGAAGCCCCGGCUAACUUCGUGCCAGCAGCCGCGGUAAUACGAAGGGGGCUAGCGUUGCUCGGAAUCACUGGGCGUAAAGCGCACGUAAGGCGGUUUUUUAAGUCAGAGGUGAAAUCCUGGAGCUCAAUCCAGAACUGCCUUUGAUACUGAGGAGCUCGAGUCCGGGGAGAGGUGAGUGGAACUGCGAGUGUAGAGGUGAAAUU